RNAcentral lists this ribosomal RNA (428 nucleotides) under uncultured bacterium. RNAcentral's name for it is "bacterial SSU rRNA". It matches the Rfam family "Bacterial small subunit ribosomal RNA", at positions 355 to 775 of the family's 1533-position model. The record is from RNAcentral.
UGGGGAAUAUUGGACAAUGGGCGAAAGCCUGAUCCAGCCAUGCCGCGUGUGUGAAGAAGGUCUUCGGAUUGUAAAGCACUUUAAGUUGGGAGGAAGGGCAGUUACCUAAUACGUAAUUGUUUUGACGUUACCGACAGAAUAAGCACCGGCUAACUCUGUGCCAGCAGCCGCGGUAAUACAGAGGGUGCAAGCGUUAAUCGGAAUUACUGGGCGUAAAGCGCGCGUAGGUGGUUCGUUAAGUUGGAUGUGAAAUCCCCGGGCUCAACCUGGGAACUGCAUUCAAAACUGUCGAGCUAGAGUAUGGUAGAGGGUGGUGGAAUUUCCUGUGUAGUGGUGAAAUGCGUAGAUAUAGGAAGGAACACCAGUGGCGAAGGCGACCACCUGGACUGAUACUGACACUGAGGUGCGAAAGCGUGGGGAGCAAACAG